GAUGAACGCUGGCGGUGUGCCUAAUACAUGCAAGUCGAGCGAACAGACGAGGAGCUUACUCCUCUGACGUUAGCGGCGGACGGGUGAGUAACACGUGGAUAACCUACCUAUAAGACUGGGAUAACUUCGGGAAACCGGAGCUAAUACCGGAUAACAUGUUGAACCGCAUGGUUCAACAGUGAAAGACGGUCUUGCUGUCACUUAUAGAUGGAUCCGCGUCGCAUUAGCUAGUUGGUAAGGUAACGGCUUACCAAGGCAACGAUGCGUAGCCGACCUGAGAGGGUGAUCGGCCACACUGGAACUGAGACACGGUCCAGACUCCUACGGGAGGCAGCAGUAGGGAAUCUUCCGCAAUGGGCGAAAGCCUGACGGAGCAACGCCGCGUGAGUGAAGAAGGUCUUCGGAUCGUAAAACUCUGUUAUUAGGGAAGAACAUAUGUGUAAGUAACUAUGCACGUCUUGACGGUACCUAAUCAGAAAGCCACGGCUAACUACGUG
Molecule: ribosomal RNA, 497 nt
Filed under: uncultured bacterium
Lineage: Bacteria
Description: partial 16S ribosomal RNA
Rfam family: Bacterial small subunit ribosomal RNA
Source: RNAcentral